AGUGGGAUAGCUGGGUCAAAUGGUGAUUCCAUUCCAAGUUUUCCAGGGAAUCUCCAUACUGCUUUCCAUAUUGGCUGCACCAUUUUGCAGUCCUGCCAGCAAU
Molecule: microRNA precursor, 103 nt
Filed under: Marmota monax (woodchuck)
Lineage: Eukaryota; Metazoa; Chordata; Mammalia; Rodentia; Sciuridae
Source: RNAcentral